This 271-nucleotide ribosomal RNA is filed under the name uncultured archaeon. RNAcentral describes it as "partial 16S ribosomal RNA". It matches the Rfam family "Archaeal small subunit ribosomal RNA", at positions 477 to 747 of the family's 1478-position model. The record is from RNAcentral.
CAGCUCCACGAGUGGGAACUACAAUUAUUGGGCCUAAAGCGUCCGUAGCCGGUUUGAUAAAUUUCUUGUGAAAUUGUUGUGCUUAACGUAACAACGUGCAGGGAAGACUGUCAAACUCGGGACUGGGAGGAGUUAGAAGUAUCUCUGGGGUAGCGGUAAAAUGUUAUAAUCCUAGAGAGACUACCUAUGGUGAAGACAUCUAACUAGAACAGGUCCGACGGUGAGGGACGAAAGCUAGGGGAGCAAAACGGAUUAGAUACCCGAGUAGUCC